RNAcentral lists this long non-coding RNA (6443 nucleotides) under Brassica napus (rape). Its description in RNAcentral is "long non-coding RNA (BNAP_LNC000689)". The record is from RNAcentral. Lineage: Eukaryota; Viridiplantae; Streptophyta; Magnoliopsida; Brassicales; Brassicaceae.
UUUGAGUUUCAAUCUAUUGUUUAAAAUUAUCUAUGAAUUAUUGUACUGAAUCAUCAUUUUUUUAAUCUCCUUUCUUUGGUCCUUUAUAAUAAUAGUAUAUCCUUUGUAAAAGAAGUGUAAAGACAUCGACGGCAAAGAGGUAGCGUAAGCAAAGUUGGCGGAGGCAAAUAAGGAGCGUGGAAUAAAGAAAGAGUCGAGUCCACAUGGGCGGCCAUAGCGUUUGUGUCCCACCUUUGUCCCCUUGCCUCUUUCUUGCCUUUCAUGCUCCCGACAACAUCUCUCUCUCUUCCUUUAACCCUAACUUCUAUGCAUCUUCUCCCUCCUGUAUAUAUCUCUCUUUCUCUAAACCCAUCAUCAACCAAACUCACAAACAAGAACAAGAAGAACAAGGAUUCUGCUUUGGAUAUAUUACACAGAGACAUAUAGAGAGAGAGGUGUCUUGAUCUUGAAAAAAAAUGGCUUACGAGAAAGUCAAUGAGCUUAACCUUAAGGACACAGAGCUUCGUCUUGGAUUACCCGGAACGGAGCAAGAUAAGGAAGAACAAGAGGUUUCUUGCGUUAGAAGCAACAAGCGUCAACUACAGAGCGAUAACGAGGAAGAAUCUACACUUCCUACGAAGUAAGUGAAGAUUUGAGUUUCAAUCUAUUGUUUAAAAUUAUCUAUGAAUUAUUGUACUGAUGAUGAUUCUUUGCUAAUUUACAGAACUCAAAUCGUUGGUUGGCCUCCGGUGAGAUCUUACCGUAAAAACAACAACAGUGUGAGCUAUGUGAAAGUGAGUAUGGAUGGAGCUCCAUACCUUAGGAAAAUAGAUCUCAAGACAUACAAAAACUAUCCAGAGCUUCUCAAGGCAUUAGAGAACCUGUUCAAGUUCACGAUCGGUGAAUACAGCGAAAGAGAAGGAUACAAAGGAUCUGGAGUUGUACCAACGUACGAGGAUAAAGAUGGAGAUUGGAUGUUGGUUGGUGAUGUUCCAUGGGAUAUGUUCUCUUCCUCUUGUAAGAGACUCAGGAUCAUGAAAGGAUCUGAUGCUCUUGCUUUGGACUCGGCCUUAUGAUGAUGAUGAUGAUGAUGAUGAAAGCUUUUGAUGGAUGAAACCCUUUUUGAUUUGAUUCUGAUCGGAGUUUGAGUAGUUGACCACACCAAAAACAGAACAUGUCAGGGUUUUGUUCGAUGAGAUAGAUCCAUCUUCAAGGGGUUUUCUUUUUGUUUUGUUUGAUCCUUGUUUUUAGAUUUGCAGCUUGUUGUAAAGAUAGAUGAAAUUUUUGUACAAUACGGACAUAUACACAAUAUAGAUGCGUAUGUAGCAAUGUUUUGACGAAAAGAGUCUUUAAUUUCAUAGUGAUAUCUACAAUAAUUUACAAUAAAGAACCUCAUAGUAUUCUUUAGGAGAGGGCAAAAUAAGGGUUUGGAUUCGAUCAGGAAAUUUUGGAUAUUUGUAACUCCAACAAAAAAAAAUACUUACAUUUAAUUAUAGUUAAAAACUGAAAAAAUUAUAAUUACUAAAAUUUUAGAAGAUAUAUGUGUUUAUUAUAUUUAUAUGAAAGUUUGAUAUAUUUUCGCUAAAUUAUUUAUUUAUUUAUUUAUUAAAAAGUAAAAUUAAAUUACAUUUUAUUUCGUAAUGAACAUUAUUAUAAUAUGUCAAAUUUCGAAUUUUUUAAUAAAAAAUAUUUUUACAUUUAAAAAAGAUUAAUCAAGAAACAGGCCUGAUAAGAGUUUCCAAAGCCCAAUUGACUUGAGUCCAUUGAUUUUGGUUAUGUGCUAUGACGGGGCGAAUCUAGCCCAUUUAAAUUAUGGGUGCACUAUUGAUAGAAAAACAUAAAAAUACAUUAGACAAGGAUCGAACCUAAGAAACUGAGGGUGCACAUACUUCUUUUUACCAUAUAAGCUAACCAAAUUUUGAUGUUUCUACGUGUAAAAUACUAAAUUUUAAAAUAAUUGUGGGUGCACAUGUCCCCUCAUCCUUUAACUUGGCUUCGCCAGGUGUUUCCACCUUCGAUGAUCAGAUAAGUGGAGAAGGUGAAAUCUACAUAAAGCUUGAAUGAAUUGGUACAUUUGAUAUAGCAACGAAAUUAUACAUAGUAUUAAUUUAAUUUAUUUUACUUCGUAAGUCAAGCUAGGCAAGAUUGUUUUGCGUGAAAUUUCGACAGGAAGACACUUGUUUCCAGUUAAUUGGGAAAUAAUUAAUAACUAGAAUAAGACAUGCGCUAGUGCGCAUAAUGAUUUUGUUUGUAUAUAUUAUCGAUAAUUCUUUUUAUAUAUUUGUUUAUUUUGUUAAUGCAUAUACAAUAUUUUUUGCUAAUAUUAUAUAAUUUCUUUCUGAUAGAUCGGAUUAAUUUUUAUUAAAAGUUGUGGAACUAAAUUAUAAUUAAUAUAUCAUAGGUUGAUUGGAUUUAAACAAAUUGUGACACAAAAACCUUAUUUUUUUCACCGGACACAUUAUUGAAAAAAAUGAAUAGUAAUGUUUCCACAGUUGAAUUGUUUUGACAUUGAUCUUCCAUAUGGUUUUGACAUGUUUCAGAUCAACAAUCAAAUUAAUACAUGUCAUUUUAAUGAUUUUAGUCGUAUGGUUAAGUAAAACUUACAUUUUUGUAAUUUAAAUUUGUUUUAAAAAAAUUCAGAAUAUAACAUAUAAGAAAAAAUCUAACAUAUAAGAAAAAAUCUAACAUAUAAGAAAAAUAUAACAUAUAAGAUUUCCUCAUUUUUGUAAAUUAAAGUCGUUUUAAACAAAAAUUAAAUUAUAACAUAUAAGGUUUCCUCAUUUUUGUAAUUUAAAGUCAUUUUAAAAAUUUUAAAAUAUAACAUAUAAGUAAAAAAACUAGUUUUUUAAUUAUAUGGUUAAUGUGAUUAUUUUAAUUUUUUUAAUAAUAUAAAAUUUAAAAAAAAAUGAAGAAUGAUGCAAAAAUUGUUAUAAAUUUUUUAUUAUUCAUAGUCAUUAACUGUCAUAUAUAUGUUAAUACUAUUAGGUAAUUUCGUAGUUUUUAUUUAAAGAAAUAAUACAUGUUUCUUAUAUUUUGAGUUAAUAUAAUGUUUCUUAAUAACUGGAUUUGAACCAACAUUUUUUCAAUUAAUUCUUAAGCUGUCAUGUAAACUAAAUUGUCAUCCUAAUUAAGUGAUACCUAAACAGUGUCUCUUUUUAAUUAGUACAAACUUAAUGUUAUAAUUUUUUUAAUAGUCCUCAAUUAAUAUAUAGGGAUUCAUAUAAUCAUAUUUAACAUGUUUAAUGAGGGGUCGUACAUAUUUAUAAUAUAUUUUUUUUUUUAUUGCUAUCUUAGCUUAACUGGUCAUGCAUGUUUCGUAUGUUUUUGAUACUGCUAGUACAUUCAAGUCUAGUUUUGUAUAAUCUAAGUCUGUAAUCUAAUUUUCAACAGUGGUGAUAUAUAUAUUAAUGGGAAAAUUAGGGCACGAAUAAUUAAGAAUUGCAAUUCUAUACUAAGAAAAAUGAGUUGAAAACAUGUUUUGAAAGUUUAAUCCUGCGAGUUAAAACAUUUUGAGGCACCUUUUUCUUAAUAUUUGCAAAUCUAAUGUCUUAACUUUUUAUCAUAUUCAUUACUGCAUUUUGCCGCGUGCCAAUUAACAUAAGUGCACGCUACUACAAUCGAAUGGUAUAUCGAUGCAGUAUUGUAUGAUUGAAUCCAUAAAAAACUAGUGGUAUAUAACAAUAAGAAUACACAAACUUUUCUAAUCUAAGCAAAUAAGAAGAUGGAUGAUUUGUAACAAUCUAAGUAAUGACAGUAGUGAUCAUGGGCCUUUGGAGAAAGUGAAAGAGCAGUCUCAAGCCCACACGGUCACCACCAAAGUUCAGCCUAAUCCUCCUCUGUCGUCUAGUGUCAAACAGAAAGCAUUCAAGGUUCAAUCUUCUUGCUCCAGUACGACGAGGCCAGCUAAUGGCAUAACGGUUGGAAAUAGAUUUGAGUGUCUUGGUACACAGCCUGUCAUGUGCUGAGUCAGAGUAGAGGAUAAGAUCUUAUGUCUCUAUAUAAUGUAAAACGUGAACAUGUAAUCAGCAAGCAAGAAAGUAAUAAAAGUUAAAACGUUCUUCUUCACAAAACUCUAAGUUUUUUCAUGGUAUCAGAGCCAUGGAGGACUCUGACGCUAUUUCUACGCCAUCACUGAGUAUCUCUCAGUGUGUGACGUUAAAACUCACAUCUUCCAACUACUUGCUUUGGAAGACACAGUUCGAAUCCUUUCUUUACAGUCAAUCCUUGCUCGGUUUUCUCAAUGGAGGUUCUCUUCGCCCUGCUCCAACGGUAACGGUUCAAGAAGGAGAUGGAGUCACAGAGCAGCCUAAUCCUGAGUUUCAGAAGUGGAUGCGCAAAGACCAGCUUGUCAUGGCUUGGUUGUUCGGUUCUCUGUCUGAGGAUGCUCUCAGAUCUGUCUACGGUCUCACGUCAGCUCAGGAGGUCUGGUUCUGCCUUGGAAAGAAGUACAAUCGUGUCUCAGCUACAAGAAAACUAGAUCUCCAACGUAAGCUUCAAGGUAUGACUAAAAGCCAAAGAACCAUGACAGAGUAUCUAGGAGAGAUUAAGAGUAUCUGUGACCAGUUAGACUCUAUAGGGUGUAGCAUGACUGAGCAUGAGAUGAUAUAUGGUGCGUUGAGCGGUUUAGGGAAAGAGUAUGAAUCCAUAUGUACGGUUAUUGAGCAUUCUAUGGAUUCGGUUACUGAGAUGACGUUUGAAGAUGCUGUGUUCAAGCUCACUACCUUUGAUGAUAAGCUUCAGGUCUAUAACCAAAGUGCCACAGUUAAUCCUCAUCUUGCCUUUCAUGUUGGAAGGGGUUACUCUAACAACAGAGGCAGAGGAGGUUACACUAACAGAGGGGAUUAUAGAGGUGGUCGAAGCAACAACAACUACUCCACAAGGGGACGUGGCUUUCAACAGCAGUUCUCAAGUGGUAAUGGUCGUGACAAUGUUAGCUCAGGGUCCGGUUCCAACAACAGACCUACCUGCCAAAUCUGUGGGCGGUAUGGUCAUUCAGCUGCGAGAUGCUACAAUCGCUAUGAUCAAGAGUCUCAGUCUUCAGAUAACCUACCCAAUGCGCUCACCACAAUGAGACUUUCUGAUCAAGAACACAGUACCGGUCAAGAAUGGUAUCCAGAUUCUGCUGCGUCUGCCCACAUUACAAGCAACCAGUCUCAGUUAACGUCAGCAGAACCCUAUCUUGGGAAUGAUCAAGUGAUCGUUGGGAAUGGAGAUUACCUGCCAAUCACGCAUGUUGGAUCUGUCGCCUUACACACACAACAAGGUACUCUUCCUCUUGAUGAUGUGUUAGUCUGUCCUGGAAUAACAAAGUCUUUGAUAUCGGUUUCAAAACUCACUUCAGACUAUCCAUGUGAAGUUACAUUUGAUUCUGAAACUGUUUUUGUUAAGGACAAGCAAACAAAACAGGUGAUAACUCAAGGCAGAAGGGAUAAGGAUCUGUAUAUGUUGAAGGAUGCAAGAUAUCAAGCUUUUUAUUCUACAAGACAGAGAGCUACAAGUGUGGAGAUUUGGCAUCAAAGGCUAGGCCAUCCUCACAAGGACAUCCUUCAGCAGUUAGCCAGGAGUAACGCUAUCAGUUUGAAUAAAGGGGGGACAUUGGAGCUCUGUGAAGCGUGUCAGAUUGGCAAGAGUUGCAGGCUUCCUUUUCUUCUUUCAGAAACUUUUUCUAAUAGACCUUUAGAGAAGAUACAUUGUGACUUAUGGGGACCUAGUCCAGUUGUUUCUGCUCAAGGAUUUGGAUUACCCGGAAUAGAGCAAGAUAAGGAAGAACAAGAGGUUUCUUGCGUUAGAAGCAACAAGCGUCAACUACAAAGCGAUAACGAGGAAGAAUCUACACUUCCUACGAAGUAAGUAAAGAUUUGAGUUUCAAUCUAUUGUUUCAAAUUAUCUAUGAAUUGUUGUACUAAUGAUGAUUCUUUGCUAAUUUACAGAACUCAAAUCGUUGGUUGGCCUCCGGUGAGAUCUUACCGUAAAAACAACAACAGUGUGAGCUAUGUGAAAGUGAGUAUGGAUGGAGCUCCAUACCUUAGGAAAAUAGAUCUCAAGACAUACAAAAACUAUCCAGAGCUUCUCAAGGCAUUAGAGAACCUGUUCAAGUUCACGAUCGGUGAAUACAGCGAAAGAGAAGGAUACAAAGGAUCUGGAGUUGUACCAACGUACGAGGAUAAAGAUGGAGAUUGGAUGUUGGUUGGUGAUGUUCCAUGGGAUAUGUUCUCUUCCUCUUGUAAGAGACUCAGGAUCAUGAAAGGAUCUGAUGCUCUUGCUUUGGACUCGGCCUUAUGAUGAUGAUGAUGAUGAUGAUGAAAGCUUUUGAUGGAUGAAACCCUUUUUGAUUUGAUUCUGAUCGGAGUUUGAGUAGUUGACCACACCAAAAACAGAACAUGUCAGGGUUUUGUUCGAUGAGAUAGAUCCAUCUUCAAGGGGUUUUCUUUUUGUUUUGUUUGAUCCUUGUUUUUAGAUUUGCA